RNAcentral lists this long non-coding RNA (357 nucleotides) under Pan troglodytes (chimpanzee). RNAcentral's name for it is "long non-coding RNA NONPTRT002237". Lineage: Eukaryota; Metazoa; Chordata; Mammalia; Primates; Hominidae. The record is from RNAcentral.
CUUCAAAUGGUGCCAGACGUGGUGGUAUGAGCCUGUAAUUCCAGCUACUCAGGAAGCUGAGGUGGGAGGAUCACUCUGGCCUAGGAGUUUGAGAUCAGCCUGGGUGACAGAGCAAGACCCUGUCUCUAGAAAAGAGAAAGAAUAAAUGGCUGAUGGAGAUGACUCUACUGCAAAAAUGACAACCAGCAAGAAAGCGGGUGGUGCCCGUUUCCUCCCUGGGGACCCUCAGAGGGCCAGGCCAUUCUCUUCCUUGGUGUGACUGCGGAUCCAGGGCCCAGCUGAAGAGCAUCAGAUCUGUGGGCAUGGUAUGUUUGCUGAAGGACAGUGGCAGAGUUCCAGGCCAGGCAGGGCCGGCCC